UAGUGUAUGCAAUGGUGUCAGCAUUUGGAU
This 30-nucleotide non-coding RNA is filed under the name Mus musculus (house mouse). Lineage: Eukaryota; Metazoa; Chordata; Mammalia; Rodentia; Muridae. The record is from RNAcentral.